AAACCAACAGGGAUUGCCUUAGUAGCGGCGAGUGAAGCGGCAAAAGCUCAAAUUUGAAAUCUGGCGCCUUCGGUGUCCGAGUUGUAAUUUGAAGAUUGUAACCUUGGGGUUGGCUCUUGUCUAUGUUUCUUGGAACAGGACGUCACAGAGGGUGAGAAUCCCGUGCGAUGAGAUGCCCAAUUCUAUGUAAGGUGCUUUCGAAGAGUCGAGUUGUUUGGGAAUGCAGCUCUAAGUGGGUGGUAAAUUCCAUCUAAAGCUAAAUAUUGGCGAGAGACCGAUAGCGAACAAGUACAGUGAUGGAAAGAUGAAAAGAACUUUGAAAAGAGAGUGAAAAAGUACGUGAAAUUGUUGAAAGGGAAGGGUUUGAGAUCAGACUCGAUAUUUUGUGAGCCUUGCCUUCGUGGCGGGGUGACCCGCAGCUUAUCGGGCCAGCAUCGGUUUGGGCGGUAGGAUAAUGGCGUAGGAAUGUGACUUUACUUCGGUGAAGUGUUAUAGCCUGCGUUGAUGCUGCCUGCCUAGACUGAGGACUGCGAUUUUAUCAAGGAUGCUGGCAUAAUGAUCCCAAACCGC
RNAcentral lists this ribosomal RNA (570 nucleotides) under Meyerozyma guilliermondii. RNAcentral describes it as "LSU rRNA". It matches the Rfam family "Eukaryotic large subunit ribosomal RNA", at positions 62 to 648 of the family's 3401-position model. The record is from RNAcentral. Lineage: Eukaryota; Fungi; Ascomycota; Pichiomycetes; Serinales; Debaryomycetaceae.